Non-coding RNA from Lolium perenne, 1255 nucleotides. Lineage: Eukaryota; Viridiplantae; Streptophyta; Magnoliopsida; Poales; Poaceae. The record is from RefSeq and is a predicted model, not a curated record.
CUCGUUUCAUUGGUUGUUCGGUGGAGCGGUGAAAACCCUAGAUCGGGAUUGGCCUCUCCUCCAAUCCCCGCCUCCUCUCCCCUCCCCAAUCAGACCCUUCUCACUUUCCGCGGGAGCCCGACGGUGGUGGCGGCUGGAAUGAAACGGGGCGGACCUCACCGCUCCUCUUCCUGCGCUGAGAAGCAGCGUGUGCGGCUCCGCCUCGUGCCUUGCAUCAGGAGACGGCACGGACAAGGGCGCCGCCGCUGGUAUAGCGCCAGGAGGUCACAGUCGCUGCCGGUCGUGGACGCCGCCGUGCCAAAAGCAGGAGAGCGCACGAAGGCGGGCGGCGGCGCGGAGAGUGGUGGCGGCGCGUGGCCUUGAGAAGCUCAUCCACAGCCGGUGGGGCUUGCGAUCUCCGGUCAAGGACGCCUCCCCCGCCUCGUCCUCCCCUGCCUCCGCACCCGGCGAGGACGACCCAACCACGAUGUAAGCCUUCGACCCUUCUUCCAUGGAGGCACCUCGAUCUAACGGCGCUAGAUCCACCCAGCCGCGGCUCAGGCUAUAUAUGAUUCGGUCGGGAAGGCCAGCCUAUCGCCGGUUCUGCCGCCGCUGAUGCCCAGGCCGCCUCGUGUAUUUUUCUUCUCCGGCGGUGGUUCCUCAUCUUGCUUCUCCCUCCUCUCUUUCUCUUCCUAUUCCUCUCUGUCUAUCUCACUCUUAUCUCCCACUCUCGUUGAUUUUAGGUACGGUUCUACUGUUAGAAUUUGUUAUCUUUCAUCUUCGAGAGAGAUUGGAGCCACCUCUUGCUCAUGUGCUCUAGAUCUCAUAUAUAUUUUGAUUCUGAAUCGAUUUGGCAUGUCUGUUGAUGCCGAUGAUGAUUUGAUGCUCGUUUUGCAUAUCUGACAUGGAUUUGAGCUCUCGCUGCAAACUAUGUCAGCUGGUCGGUGGCUGUUACUUGCCAUUGAGGUCCACAUGAUAGUGGAGUGAGAAGCAAGGUAUUAUGUGGAACCGUUGCUUAAUGAAAAUGGUAAAGAUUGGAGUUUGCUGCAUCUGUUUUGUUAGAUCUCAGGGAGGUGGAAGAUAUAGGAGAGGAGGUCUGACCAGACAAAUUAUUUGAGGUUGAAGAGAUGUUCAGUACCAUUAUAUGGGGUGAAUAAGUUGACUCAAUCAUCUCAGAACCAUUUAGUUCGUGGACCGCUGCUCCAGCAUUGAGUUAACAAAAUCCAUGGUGUGUGCACCUAUCUUGUGAUGUUGUCAGCGGCAGGGGUUGGUGUCU